Non-coding RNA from Cyanistes caeruleus (blue tit), 1138 nucleotides. Lineage: Eukaryota; Metazoa; Chordata; Aves; Passeriformes; Paridae. The record is from RefSeq and is a predicted model, not a curated record.
GAUAUUAUGGCUCCCUCCAAGAGCCUGCAGCAUUCCUAACCCAUCCUCUCCAUCUCUGCCUGCCUCUCCGUGUCACUGACUGAAACCUGAACCAGAGCCUGGUUUUUAGUGAUUGCUGUUCCCAGAACUCAGCAGGCUGAAGGGGGUGGAAGGGAGAUAAACAUAAGGGUUCAACAUCCAGACAAACACAGCAGAGCACACACAAUAAAUACAUCCACCCCCAAAUGCAAAUACACGAUAAAGGAUUCCUUCUCCAAGGCUCAGAGCAGAACAGGCUCAGACAGGAAGGCAUCAGAAUGAGGCUGUUUAUUUUGCUGGCUGUGCUCUAUAGUGGAGUAAGGAGCAACACUGUGCCACAGAAAAUGUAUGGGAGGAUCACAUCCCCAAACUUCCCAAAGGUCUAUCCAAAUCAUAAGGAGAAAAUAUGGAAUAUUACUGUCCCCAAAGGAUAUUCUGUCCGCAUUUACUUCACCCAUUUCAACCUGGAGUUGUCCUACCUGUGUGAAUAUGAUUAUGUGAAGCUGAGCUCUGGUGGGAAAACCUUGGCUAUGCUGUGCGGACAGGACAGUACAGACACUGAGGAGGCUCCGGGUAACAGGACGUACAUCUCUGUUGACAACCACCUCGUGGUAGUGUUUCGGUCUGAUUACUCCAAUGAGAAACCAUUCACAGGCUUUGAGGCCUUUUAUGCUGCUGAAGAUAUUGAUGAGUGCAAACAGCCAUUGGAUACUAAGUCCCUCUGUAGUCAUCACUGUCACAACUACAUGGGAGGCUACUAUUGCAGCUGCAGGGUUGGCUACAAACUGCAUGAAAACAAGAGGACAUGUACAGUUCAUAACUAGGGAAAGCUUCUGUGGUGUCCGGCGGUGAGGUGUCUGGAUCAACAUGGUAAUGAGCAUCUCAGGAUUCCCUUUCCAGUGAAACGUGCCUACAUGGGCAGGAGACAAUUAAGCGUCUCCUCACUUAGGCAGAGAUGGAGACAGAUGUGCUGGGAAGAGCUGGUUUCCUUCCUUCCUGACCUGCCUGUUACAGUCUGCCCGGGGCCUGCAGGCUUCUCUUGCUCCAUGACUUGUCCAUGUGGUUCCUUGCCUUUCAGACUUGCAGAUAAUAAAGAGGCUGUUGCCGGUUGAAAGCUGAA